GGAAGUAAAAUCGUAACAAGGUCUCCGUAGGUGAACCUGCGGAGGGAUCAUUACGGAGUUCAUGCCCUACCGGGUAGAUCUCCCACCCUAUGUUAUUAUUACUUUGUUGCUUUGGCGGGCCGUUAGGCUCCGGCCCGACUACCGGCCCCGGCUGGUAAGCGCCCGCCAGAGGACCCAAAACCCUGAAUAUUAGUGUCGUCUGAGUACUAUAUAAUAGUUAAAACUUUCAACAACGGAUCUCUUGGUUCUG
RNAcentral lists this unclassified non-coding RNA (250 nucleotides) under plant metagenome. Its description in RNAcentral is "partial contains small subunit ribosomal RNA, internal transcribed spacer 1, and 5.8S ribosomal RNA". The stretch from base 1 to 53 matches the Rfam family "Eukaryotic small subunit ribosomal RNA", at positions 1778 to 1831 of the family's 1831-position model. The record is from RNAcentral.